RNAcentral lists this ribosomal RNA (2925 nucleotides) under Escherichia coli. RNAcentral describes it as "bacterial LSU rRNA". It matches the Rfam family "Bacterial large subunit ribosomal RNA". Lineage: Bacteria; Pseudomonadati; Pseudomonadota; Gammaproteobacteria; Enterobacterales; Enterobacteriaceae. RNAcentral also lists the same sequence under 1 other name. The record is from RNAcentral.
GGGUUGUGAGGUUAAGCGACUAAGCGUACACGGUGGAUGCCCUGGCAGUCAGAGGCGAUGAAGGACGUGCUAAUCUGCGAUAAGCGUCGGUAAGGUGAUAUGAACCGUUAUAACCGGCGAUUUCCGAAUGGGGAAACCCAGUGUGAUUCGUCACACUAUCAUUAACUGAAUCCAUAGGUUAAUGAGGCGAACCGGGGGAACUGAAACAUCUAAGUACCCCGAGGAAAAGAAAUCAACCGAGAUUCCCCCAGUAGCGGCGAGCGAACGGGGAGCAGCCCAGAGCCUGAAUCAGUGUGUGUGUUAGUGGAAGCGUCUGGAAAGGCGCGCGAUACAGGGUGACAGCCCCGUACACAAAAAUGCACAUGCUGUGAGCUCGAUGAGUAGGGCGGGACACGUGGUAUCCUGUCUGAAUAUGGGGGGACCAUCCUCCAAGGCUAAAUACUCCUGACUGACCGAUAGUGAACCAGUACCGUGAGGGAAAGGCGAAAAGAACCCCGGCGAGGGGAGUGAAAAAGAACCUGAAACCGUGUACGUACAAGCAGUGGGAGCACGCUUAGGCGUGUGACUGCGUACCUUUUGUAUAAUGGGUCAGCGACUUAUAUUCUGUAGCAAGGUUAACCGAAUAGGGGAGCCGAAGGGAAACCGAGUCUUAACUGGGCGUUAAGUUGCAGGGUAUAGACCCGAAACCCGGUGAUCUAGCCAUGGGCAGGUUGAAGGUUGGGUAACACUAACUGGAGGACCGAACCGACUAAUGUUGAAAAAUUAGCGGAUGACUUGUGGCUGGGGGUGAAAGGCCAAUCAAACCGGGAGAUAGCUGGUUCUCCCCGAAAGCUAUUUAGGUAGCGCCUCGUGAAUUCAUCUCCGGGGGUAGAGCACUGUUUCGGCAAGGGGGUCAUCCCGACUUACCAACCCGAUGCAAACUGCGAAUACCGGAGAAUGUUAUCACGGGAGACACACGGCGGGUGCUAACGUCCGUCGUGAAGAGGGAAACAACCCAGACCGCCAGCUAAGGUCCCAAAGUCAUGGUUAAGUGGGAAACGAUGUGGGAAGGCCCAGACAGCCAGGAUGUUGGCUUAGAAGCAGCCAUCAUUUAAAGAAAGCGUAAUAGCUCACUGGUCGAGUCGGCCUGCGCGGAAGAUGUAACGGGGCUAAACCAUGCACCGAAGCUGCGGCAGCGACGCUGAUGCGUUGUUGGGUAGGGGAGCGUUCUGUAAGCCUGCGAAGGUGUGCUGUGAGGCAUGCUGGAGGUAUCAGAAGUGCGAAUGCUGACAUAAGUAACGAUAAAGCGGGUGAAAAGCCCGCUCGCCGGAAGACCAAGGGUUCCUGUCCAACGUUAAUCGGGGCAGGGUGAGUCGACCCCUAAGGCGAGGCCGAAAGGCGUAGUCGAUGGGAAACAGGUUAAUAUUCCUGUACUUGGUGUUACUGCGAAGGGGGGACGGAGAAGGCUAUGUUGGCCGGGCGACGGUUGUCCCGGUUUAAGCGUGUAGGCUGGUUUUCCAGGCAAAUCCGGAAAAUCAAGGCUGAGGCGUGAUGACGAGGCACUACGGUGCUGAAGCAACAAAUGCCCUGCUUCCAGGAAAAGCCUCUAAGCAUCAGGUAACAUCAAAUCGUACCCCAAACCGACACAGGUGGUCAGGUAGAGAAUACCAAGGCGCUUGAGAGAACUCGGGUGAAGGAACUAGGCAAAAUGGUGCCGUAACUUCGGGAGAAGGCACGCUGAUAUGUAGGUGAAGUCCCUCGCGGAUGGAGCUGAAAUCAGUCGAAGAUACCAGCUGGCUGCAACUGUUUAUUAAAAACACAGCACUGUGCAAACACGAAAGUGGACGUAUACGGUGUGACGCCUGCCCGGUGCCGGAAGGUUAAUUGAUGGGGUCAGCGCAAGCGAAGCUCUUGAUCGAAGCCCCGGUAAACGGCGGCCGUAACUAUAACGGUCCUAAGGUAGCGAAAUUCCUUGUCGGGUAAGUUCCGACCUGCACGAAUGGCGUAAUGAUGGCCAGGCUGUCUCCACCCGAGACUCAGUGAAAUUGAACUCGCUGUGAAGAUGCAGUGUACCCGCGGCAAGACGGAAAGACCCCGUGAACCUUUACUAUAGCUUGACACUGAACAUUGAGCCUUGAUGUGUAGGAUAGGUGGGAGGCUUUGAAGUGUGGACGCCAGUCUGCAUGGAGCCGACCUUGAAAUACCACCCUUUAAUGUUUGAUGUUCUAACGUGGACCCGUAAUCCGGGUUGCGGACAGUGUCUGGUGGGUAGUUUGACUGGGGCGGUCUCCUCCUAAAGAGUAACGGAGGAGCACGAAGGUUGGCUAAUCCUGGUCGGACAUCAGGAGGUUAGUGCAAUGGCAUAAGCCAGCUUGACUGCGAGCGUGACGGCGCGAGCAGGUGCGAAAGCAGGUCAUAGUGAUCCGGUGGUUCUGAAUGGAAGGGCCAUCGCUCAACGGAUAAAAGGUACUCCGGGGAUAACAGGCUGAUACCGCCCAAGAGUUCAUAUCGACGGCGGUGUUUGGCACCUCGAUGUCGGCUCAUCACAUCCUGGGGCUGAAGUAGGUCCCAAGGGUAUGGCUGUUCGCCAUUUAAAGUGGUACGCGAGCUGGGUUUAGAACGUCGUGAGACAGUUCGGUCCCUAUCUGCCGUGGGCGCUGGAGAACUGAGGGGGGCUGCUCCUAGUACGAGAGGACCGGAGUGGACGCAUCACUGGUGUUCGGGUUGUCAUGCCAAUGGCACUGCCCGGUAGCUAAAUGCGGAAGAGAUAAGUGCUGAAAGCAUCUAAGCACGAAACUUGCCCCGAGAUGAGUUCUCCCUGACUCCUUGAGAGUCCUGAAGGAACGUUGAAGACGACGACGUUGAUAGGCCGGGUGUGUAAGCGCAGCGAUGCGUUGAGCUAACCGGUACUAAUGAACCGUGAGGCUUAACCUUACAACGCCGAAG